CUACGGGGUGCUGCAGUGAGGGAUUUUGCGCAAUGGGGGAAAACCCUGACGCAGCAACGCCGCGUGAGUGAAGAAGGCCUUUGGGUCGUAAAGCUCUGUCAACUGGGAAGAAGUUACAGAUAUCGAACAGGUAUAUGUAUUGACGGUACCAGUGAAGGAAGCAUCGGCUAACUCCGUGCCAGCAGCCGCGGUAAUACGGGGGAUGCAAGCGUUAUUCGGAAUUAUUGGGCGUAAAGGGCGCGCAGGCGGUCUUGUCGGUCAGAUGGGAAAGCCCGGGGCUCAACCCUGGAAGUGCAUUUGAAACAGCAAGACUUGAGUACGGGAGAGGAAAGCGGAAUUCCUGGUGUAGAGGUGAAAUUCGUAGAUAUCAGGAGGAAUACCGAUGGCGAAGGCAGCUUUCUGGACCGAUACUGACGCUGAGGCGCGAAGGCGUGGGUAGCGAACGGGAUUAGAUACCCUCGUAGUC
This 466-nucleotide ribosomal RNA is filed under the name uncultured bacterium. Its description in RNAcentral is "partial 16S ribosomal RNA". It matches the Rfam family "Bacterial small subunit ribosomal RNA", at positions 339 to 795 of the family's 1533-position model. The record is from RNAcentral.